This 215-nucleotide ribosomal RNA is filed under the name uncultured bacterium. RNAcentral's name for it is "partial 16S ribosomal RNA". It matches the Rfam family "Bacterial small subunit ribosomal RNA", at positions 524 to 738 of the family's 1533-position model. The record is from RNAcentral.
UACGAGGGGGCGAGCGUUGUUCGGAAUUAUUGGGCGUAAAGGGUGCGUAGGCGGUUCCGCAAGUCCUGUGUGAAAUCUUCGGGCUCAACUCGAAGUCUGCACGGGAAACUGCGGGGCUUUGAGUGUGGGAGAGGUGAGUGGAAUUCCGGUGUAGCGGUGAAAUGCGUAGAUAGUCGGGAGGAACACCUGUGGCGAAAGCGGCUCACUGGACCAUA